This 252-nucleotide unclassified non-coding RNA is filed under the name plant metagenome. RNAcentral describes it as "partial contains small subunit ribosomal RNA, internal transcribed spacer 1, and 5.8S ribosomal RNA". The stretch from base 1 to 53 matches the Rfam family "Eukaryotic small subunit ribosomal RNA", at positions 1778 to 1831 of the family's 1831-position model. The record is from RNAcentral.
GGAAGUAAAAGUGUAACAAGGUCUCCGUUGGUGAACCAGCGGAGGGAUCAUUACAGAGUUGCAAAACUCCCAAACCAUUGUGAACGUUACCUAUCCCGUUGCUUCGGCGGGCGGCCCGGGCCCCGCGCCCGGCGCCCCCCGUCCCCCCGUGGGCGCCCGCCGGAAGUAAACCAGACCCUUGAAUUGCAUGGCCUCUCUGAGUCUUCUGUACUGAAUAAGUCAAAACUUUCAACAACGGAUCUCUUGGUUCUG